GUGUAAUGAUGUCCUGCUGACUACAACUACGACUACUGGCGCCCCCACAACUUCUACUCCGAUGAUUCCUGCAGCAACAACUGUUCCACUUCAGUGUACGACCUGCAUAGACUCAUCAUGUUCCGUUGAAGACGUAUUGCCAUGUUCCUCUGAAACAAUGUGUGUGUCAGCAGCCAUCCUCGAGUCUUCCAAUGGAGCCGAGACUGAUCGAAUCUUCAAGGGCUGUGCAAACUCCUCCCUGUGUCCAUCUACAGGCCUUCAAACCCUUUCAACCAGUUUGGGUCCAACAACUACAGUUAUAUCUGCUAACUGCUGCGACACAGAAAACUGCAACUCGGCCACUCAAGCUGCACCAACUCUUCCAGAUCCAAACGGCC
Long non-coding RNA from Salarias fasciatus (jewelled blenny), 377 nucleotides. RefSeq lists it as uncharacterized. Lineage: Eukaryota; Metazoa; Chordata; Actinopteri; Blenniiformes; Blenniidae. The transcript is spliced from 4 exons. The record is from RefSeq and is a predicted model, not a curated record.